This 908-nucleotide ribosomal RNA is filed under the name Aquimarina intermedia. RNAcentral's name for it is "bacterial SSU rRNA". It matches the Rfam family "Bacterial small subunit ribosomal RNA", at positions 51 to 956 of the family's 1533-position model. Lineage: Bacteria; Pseudomonadati; Bacteroidota; Flavobacteriia; Flavobacteriales; Flavobacteriaceae. The record is from RNAcentral.
ACACAUGCAAGUCGAGGGGUAACAGAGGUAGCUUGCUACUUGCUGACGACCGGCGCACGGGUGCGUAACGCGUAUAGAACCUACCUUAUAGAAGGGAAUAGCCCAGAGAAAUUUGGAUUAAUGCCCUAUAGUAUUAUCGAUUGGCAUCGAUUGAUAAUUAAAGAUUUAUCGCUAUAAGAUGGCUAUGCGUUCUAUUAGCUAGUUGGUAUGGUAACGGCAUACCAAGGCAACGAUAGAUAGGGGUCCUGAGAGGGAGAUCCCCCACACUGGUACUGAGACACGGACCAGACUCCUACGGGAGGCAGCAGUGAGGAAUAUUGGACAAUGGAGGCAACUCUGAUCCAGCCAUGCCGCGUGCAGGAAGACUGCCCUAUGGGUUGUAAACUGCUUUUAUAGAGGAAGAACUAGUGCUACGUGUAGCACCUUGACGGUACUCUACGAAUAAGGAUCGGCUAACUCCGUGCCAGCAGCCGCGGUAAUACGGAGGAUCCAAGCGUUAUCCGGAAUCAUUGGGUUUAAAGGGUCCGUAGGCGGGUCUGUAAGUCAGUGGUGAAAGUUUACGGCUCAACCGUGAAAUUGCCAUUGAUACUGCAGGUCUUGAAUUAUUGUGAAGUGGUUAGAAUAUGUAGUGUAGCGGUGAAAUGCAUAGAUAUUACAUAGAAUACCGAUUGCGAAGGCAGAUCACUAACAAUAUAUUGACGCUAAGGGACGAAAGCGUGGGUAGCGAACAGGAUUAGAUACCCUGGUAGUCCACGCCGUAAACGAUGGUUACUAGCUGUUCGGACUUCGGUCUGAGUGGCUAAGCGAAAGUGAUAAGUAACCCACCUGGGGAGUACGUUCGCAAGAAUGAAACUCAAAGGAAUUGACGGGGCCCGCACAAGCGGUGGAGCAUGUGGUUUAAUUCGAUG